CCUACGGGUGGCAGCAGUGAGGAAUAUUGGUCAAUGGACGCAAGUCUGAACCAGCCAUGCCGCGUGCAGGAAGACGGCUCUAUGAGUUGUAAACUGCUUUUGUACGAGGGUAAACGCAGAUACGCGUAUCUGUUUGAAAGUAUCGUACGAAUAAGGAUCGGCUAACUCCGUGCCAGCAGCCGCGGUAAUACGGAGGAUUCAAGCGUUAUCCAGAUUUAUUGGGUUUAAAGGGUGCGUAGGCGGUUGGAUAAGUUAGUGGUGAAAUCCUGAGGCUCAACCUCGGAAUUGCCUCUGAUACUGUUCGGCUAGAGAGUAGUAGCGGUAGGCGGAAUGUAUGGUGUAGCGGUGAAAUGCUUAGAGAUCAUAAAGAACACCGAUUGCGAAGGCAGCUUACCAAGCUACUUCUGACGUUGAGGCACGAAAGCGUGGGGAGCAAACAGGAUUAGAUACCCGAGUAGUC
Molecule: ribosomal RNA, 460 nt
Filed under: uncultured bacterium
Lineage: Bacteria
Description: partial 16S ribosomal RNA
Rfam family: Bacterial small subunit ribosomal RNA
Source: RNAcentral